This 467-nucleotide ribosomal RNA is filed under the name uncultured bacterium. RNAcentral's name for it is "partial 16S ribosomal RNA". It matches the Rfam family "Bacterial small subunit ribosomal RNA", at positions 28 to 507 of the family's 1533-position model. The record is from RNAcentral.
GAUGAACGCUGGCGGCGUGCUUAACACAUGCAAGUCGAACGGAAAGGCCCAAGCUUGCUUGGGUACUCGAGUGGCGAACGGGUGAGUAACACGUGGGUGAUCUGCCCUGCACUUCGGGAUAAGCCUGGGAAACUGGGUCUAAUACCGGAUAGGACCACAUUUUGGAUGGUGUGGUGGAAAGUUUUUCGGUGUGGGAUGAGCUCGCGGCCUAUCAGCUUGUUGGUGGGGUAAUGGCCUACCAAGGCGUCGACGGGUAGCCGGCCUGAGAGGGUGUACGGCCACAUUGGAACUGAGAUACGGCCCAGACUCCUACGGGAGGCAGCAGUGGGGAAUAUUGCACAAUGGGCGCAAGCCUGAUGCAGCGAGGCCGCGUGGGGGAUGAAGGCCUUCGGGUUGUAAACUCCUUUCGCUAGGGACGAAGCGUUUUUGUGACGGUACCUGGAGAAGAAGCACCGGCUAACUACGUG